RNAcentral lists this ribosomal RNA (773 nucleotides) under uncultured microorganism. RNAcentral describes it as "bacterial SSU rRNA". It matches the Rfam family "Bacterial small subunit ribosomal RNA", at positions 9 to 798 of the family's 1533-position model. The record is from RNAcentral.
GAGUUUGAUCCUGGCUCAGGACGAACGCUGGCGGCGUGCUUAACACAUGCAAGUCGAACGCUGAUCCCGCUUCGGUGGGUGAUGAGUGGCGAACGGGUGAGUAACACGUGGGUAAUCUGCCCUGCACUCUGGGAUAAGCCUUGGAAACGAGGUCUAAUACCGGAUAUCACAAUCUCUCGCAUGGGGGGUUGUUGAAAGUUCUGGCGGUGCAGGAUGAACCCGCGGCCUAUCAGCUUGUUGGUGGGGUAGUGGCCUACCAAGGCGACGACGGGUAGCCGGCCUGAGAGGGUGACCGGCCACACUGGGACUGAGACACGGCCCAGACUCCUACGGGAGGCAGCAGUGGGGAAUAUUGCACAAUGGGCGAAAGCCUGAUGCAGCGACGCCGCGUGAGGGAUGACGGCCUUCGGGUUGUAAACCUCCUUCGCCAGGGACGAAGCGCAAGUGACGGUACCUGGAUAAGAAGCACCGGCUAACUACGUGCCAGCAGCCGCGGUAAUACGUAGGGUGCGAGCGUUGUCCGGAUUUAUUGGGCGUAAAGAGCUCGUAGGCGGUUUGUCGCGUCGGCCGUGAAAUCUCCACGCUUAACGUGGAGCGUGCGGUCGAUACGGGCAGACUUGAGUUCGGUAGGGGAGACUGGAAUUCCUGGUGUAGCGGUGAAAUGCGCAGAUAUCAGGAGGAACACCGGUGGCGAAGGCGGGUCUCUGGGCCGAUACUGACGCUGAGGAGCGAAAGCGUGGGGAGCGAACAGGAUUAGAUACCCGGUAGUCCAA